UAUCUCAAAGGUCGAAUGUCCUGAUGC
Molecule: non-coding RNA, 27 nt
Filed under: Rattus norvegicus (Norway rat)
Lineage: Eukaryota; Metazoa; Chordata; Mammalia; Rodentia; Muridae
Source: RNAcentral